Lutra lutra (Eurasian river otter) is the source of this 800-nucleotide long non-coding RNA. RefSeq lists it as uncharacterized. The transcript has 3 exons. NCBI's taxonomy places the organism in Eukaryota, Metazoa, Chordata, Mammalia, Carnivora, Mustelidae. The record is from RefSeq and is a predicted model, not a curated record.
ACUGGGGCAGAUCAUUACCAAUCAGAGGGAAGUGCGGGGGCAGAGAAUGUGAGUGGGAGCAGCGCCCUCACAUCAGAGGAAUUCCUAGCCCUGACCUCACAAAGUCUUUCUGAGGGAAGGAAGCACCCCAGAACGGGAAGCAGCAGGACAGACGAGGGAGGAGUGCUGGAAAUAAACCUCGCUAACCACACUGUGGUUUUUCCAGACAAGCAGAAAAGCUGCUUAAGUCAAGGACCUGGUCCCACGAAUAAGGCAUAUCCUGCUCAGCCCCGACACUGGGGGGGAUGGUUUCGACCCUCUGUUGCACAGCCCAGAUGCCCAGGACAAGUCCCCUGAGCCCACUGGGCUGCCGUAGCCCCAGCAGGGAAGGGGGAAGUCAGUUUCUUCCUCAUCUUAUAAGUCUCUCCUGGGAAUAGAGUCAGGUGAUAAGAGCCACAGGAAGUGAAAGUUCAAUCAAAACCGAGGGACCCUUGUUACUCUGUUCCUGUUUUCUGAGCUGACCUGGUCUCAAGUGUAGUGAACUCCCAGGAAAGCUGGGUCACGGAGAUGGGAAACCAAAACUGCUUUGGAGUCCACGUGUCUCAGACUUCACAUUCGUGUCAUUCCCUUGAUGGUUAAGCCUGGGUUAUCUUAACUACCUGUUUGUGUAUUUGUUUAAAAAAGGACAUCGUUCAGCUCCUAAAUAAGAUUAGUAAUAAAAUCCGAUCUAUUUUACAUUUUUUAUAUUAAUGGCAGAUAUAUUCUAAUGUGAAAAGUCAUUAUAAGCAAUUAUUGUUAGACUAGAAGGACAUCUCUUGAGA